RNAcentral lists this ribosomal RNA (424 nucleotides) under uncultured prokaryote. RNAcentral's name for it is "bacterial SSU rRNA". It matches the Rfam family "Bacterial small subunit ribosomal RNA", at positions 355 to 796 of the family's 1533-position model. The record is from RNAcentral.
UGGGGAAUAUUGGACAAUGGGGGCAACCCUGAUCCAGCCAUGCCGCGUGAGUGAUGAAGGCCUUCGGGUUGUAAAGCUCUUUCAACGGUGAAGAUGAUGACGGUAGCCGUAGAAGAAGCCCCGGCUAACUCCGUGCCAGCAGCCGCGGUAAUACGGAGGGGGCGAGCGUUGUUCGGAAUUACUGGGCGUAAAGGGCGUGUAGGCGGACUAUUAAGUCAGAGGUGAAAGCCCAGGGCUCAACCCUGGAACUGCCUUUGAUACUGGUAGUCUUGAGAAUUGGAGAGGUGUGUGGAAUUCCUAGUGUAGAGGUGAAAUUCGUAGAUAUUAGGAAGAACACCAGUGGCGAAGGCGGCACACUGGCCAAUUUCUGACGCUGAGGCGCGAAAGCGUGGGGAGCAAACAGGAUUAGAUACCCCCGUAGUCC